Molecule: transfer RNA, 85 nt
Filed under: Erysipelothrix sp.
Lineage: Bacteria; Bacillati; Bacillota; Erysipelotrichia; Erysipelotrichales; Erysipelotrichaceae
Description: tRNA-Leu
Rfam family: tRNA
About the family: Transfer RNA (tRNA) molecules are approximately 80 nucleotides in length. Their secondary structure includes four short double-helical elements and three loops (D, anti-codon, and T loops). Further hydrogen bonds mediate the characteristic L-shaped molecular structure. tRNAs have two regions of fundamental functional importance: the anti-codon, which is responsible for specific mRNA codon recognition, and the 3' end, to which the tRNAs corresponding amino acid is attached (by aminoacyl-tRNA synthetases). tRNAs cope with the degeneracy of the genetic code in two manners: having more than one tRNA (with a specific anti-codon) for a particular amino acid; and 'wobble' base-pairing, i.e. permitting non-standard base-pairing at the 3rd anti-codon position.
Source: RNAcentral
GCACCAGUGGCGGAAUUGGUAGACGCGUACGCUUGAGGGGCGUAUGGCAUUUGCUGUAAGGGUUCAAAUCCCUUCUGGUGCACCA